AGGGCCGUCCUUCCGCUUUGAAUUACAGGUGGUUGCUAGGGGCGCUCGGAGCCCGGCGCUGGCCGUGGGGAUUCACCUGGGCGGAAGGCCUUCAAGCUCAGCCUGGAAGUACACCAUGGCUUUCCUGGGCCUCCGGCUUGCUGACUGCAGAUCUCAGGACUUCUCUGCUUCCAUAAUCAUGAGCAGAAACACCUCCAAUUUGAACCGCCUUGGGAGGACACAGCGAGAAGGUGGCUCUCUCCAAGUCAGGAAGAGCACUAACUCCAGAGGUUUACCAGGCUAGUGCUCUGAUCUCAAACUUCCAACCUCCAGAACUGUGGGAAAAUAAAUUUCUAUUGUUUAAGCAACCCAGUCUAUGGUGUUUUGUAUGGCAGCAGAGCACACAGAGCUUAUGGCAAACCCCAGUGGAAAAAUCACAGUGCAGUCUCUGGGACUCUGGAGUGAGCCACACCACCUGCAGC
Molecule: long non-coding RNA, 461 nt
Organism: Talpa occidentalis (Iberian mole)
Lineage: Eukaryota; Metazoa; Chordata; Mammalia; Eulipotyphla; Talpidae
Exons: 3
Source: RefSeq, a predicted model, not a curated record